GAUGAACGCUGGCGGCAUGCCUAACACAUGCAAGUCGAGCGGACAGACGGGGCGCUCUCUCCUCUGCCGUUAGCGGCGGGCGGGUGAGUAACACGUGUAUAACUUACCUAUGAGACUGGGGUCACUACGGGGGCCCGGAUACAAUACCGGAUCAUAUAUUGAACCGCGUGGUUCAAUAGUGCAAGCGCGUUUUGCUGACCCUAAGAGAUGUUUCCGGGCCGCAUUAGCUAGUUGGUAAGGUAACGGCUUACCAAGGCUACGAUGCGUAGCUGAUCUGAGAGGGUGAUCAGCCACACUGGAACUGAGACACGGUCCAGACUCCUACGGGAGGCAGCAGUAGGGAAUCUUGGGCAAUGGGCGAAAGCCUGACGCAGCAACGCCGCGUGAGUGAUGAAGGUCUUCGGAUUGUAAAGCUCUGUUAGUAGGGAAGAACAGAUGUAUGAGUAACUAUGCAUGUCUUGACGGUACCUAAACAGAAAGCCCCGGCUAACUACGUG
This 497-nucleotide ribosomal RNA is filed under the name uncultured bacterium. Its description in RNAcentral is "partial 16S ribosomal RNA". It matches the Rfam family "Bacterial small subunit ribosomal RNA", at positions 28 to 507 of the family's 1533-position model. The record is from RNAcentral.